Piliocolobus tephrosceles (Ugandan red Colobus) is the source of this 1261-nucleotide long non-coding RNA. RefSeq lists it as uncharacterized. Lineage: Eukaryota; Metazoa; Chordata; Mammalia; Primates; Cercopithecidae. The record is from RefSeq and is a predicted model, not a curated record. The transcript is spliced from 3 exons.
GGUCCAGGGCGGCAUCCAGCUGACCCAUUGGCUUCCCGCAGGAUGCCCUGCACACGUUCCCACAGCUGCAAGUGGAGCAGAGUGAGGAGGGUUCCCCGGAAGAGGGGGCUGUGCGGCUGCGGCCGGCCGGGGAACCAUACAACCGCAAGACGCUCAGCAAGCUCAAGAGGAGCGUGGUCAGAGCCCAGGAGUUCAAGGUCGAGCUGGAAAAGUCGGGAUACUAUACGCUCUACCAUUCACUCCACCACUAUAAAUACCACACCUUCCUGCGCUGCCGGGACCAGACCCUGGCCAUCGAGGGCGGCGCCGAGGACCUGGGCCAGGAGGAGGUGGUCCAGCAGUGCAUGCGGAACCAGCCGUGGCUGGAACAGCUCUUUGAUUCCUUCAGUGACCUGCUGGCCCAAGCACAGGCCCACAGCCGCUGUGGGUGACCCCGCCCCAGCCUGUGAUGGGGGCGCCUCCUCCAUGAACCAAGAAUUGGGACAGAACCGUGUCCUCAGGAGCUAACCCCUGGGCUCCAUCGUCGGGGAAAGGGGGUCACGGGUCAGGGUGUGUCUAUGCUGCCCCCUCCAGGGCAGGGUUCAGAGUCCGACUCCCCCCCUCUCCCGAGCCCCCUCCACUCCCUCCCCAUUCCUCCCACUGUUCGGUGUACAGAGAAAUUAUUUAUAUAUAUGUAUAAAUGUCUAUUUAGUAACGGUUUCCCUCUCCCCUUGCCCCGACCCCUCCUCCACAGCCACAGCCCCCGCCCCCUCCACCUUGUACAUAAUGUAUAGGAAAAGUCUAUGUAUGACUGGCGGGGGUGGGGUGGCUUCAGAGAGCUGGGGGACCCCUUCCCCCCAAGUCCCCCUGCAGGCCGAGAUCUUUGCUAAAGGCCAUUCCCUCCCCAGGGCAUUUGGCGUCGGGUGGGAGGGGAAAACGCAUCUUGUUAAUUAUUUUUAAUCUUAUUUAUUGUACAUACCUGGGGCAGGGGGCUGGGGAGGUGGAGAGGGGAGAAGGGUCCCCUCUCUCUGCCCCCCCACUCCUUUUCUACGGCGAUUUGUCUGUGUCUGGCCCCCACCCGCUGCCCCCCCCAUUGUUGUCUGGAUGUGGUUCUAUUUUUUAUCGGUCUCCUUUCCCCUCCUCCCUGUUCUCGCCCCCUCCACCCCGCCCCUGCUCCCACCACCCUUUGUCUCUUGCUCUUUCUUGGGCUUCUGUACAACUCAACUUGUAUACACUGUGUACACACAACCAGCCAAACGAAAACCCAACGGCAAACACUUUA